Molecule: ribosomal RNA, 279 nt
Filed under: uncultured bacterium
Lineage: Bacteria
Description: partial 16S ribosomal RNA
Rfam family: Bacterial small subunit ribosomal RNA
Source: RNAcentral
UGCCAGCCGCCGCGGUAAUACGGGGGGGGCUAGCGUUGUUCGGAAUUACUGGGCGUAAAGCGCGCGUAGGCGGAUUAGUCAGUUGGAGGUGAAAUCCCGGAGCUCAACUCCGGAAUUGCCUUCAAUACUGCUAGUCUUGAGUUCGAGAGAGGGUGGUGGAAUUCCCAGUGUAGAGGUGAAAUUCGUAGAUAUUUGGAAGAACACCAGUGGCGUAAGCGGCUAACUGGCUCGUAUCUGACGCUGAGACGCGAAAGCGUGGGUAGCAAACAGGAUUAGAUA